CGUUUUUAGAAGUUUUAUGCAAUUUAAUUCACAUUUUGGCCCGUUUUGACUGUUUUUUUUAACUUUUACAUUUAAUUAUCAAUUUAACUCAAUUGGUUUAUUAAAUUAUGUAAAAUCAACCAUUUUCUAAGUCGAAAUUAUCAAAUUAAAUGAUAAUGCAAAAAAAAGAAAAUGUUGAGAGAACAUGACAAAAUCAGUGAACCAUAUAUUUACCAAAGUACUCAACAAACUCGAACAAACAAAAUCAUCGAUCAAAGCCUACAUACAUACAAAGAUUGAGAGAGAGAAAACAGAAGCUUUCAUCAAACUCUACCAAAACCAAUCUCUGUUUCCUCUUUCUCUUGAUUGAUCGGUGGAUCUAAUUUUCCGGCGACUAAGAACGGACGUUGAAGGAGAAGAAGGAUGCCAGAGACUGAGCUAAUCCCAACACAAUUGCUACCUUCACUUGACCUCUCUUCGGAAUCGGACGAAAAUUAGAUGAUCGAAAGUUACUUCUGUUCUUCAUCUCGUCUGAUCUCAUUACUCCGGCCAUUUGAAUCGUUGGCUACAACCAAUUGUCGGCAGCGUCCGGUGGCUGUUUGUAGGCUGUAGCAGAGCUAGAGAGUGGAGUUAUGGCUACUCAAUUCUGAUUGAUGUGCAAUAUAUAAACUGUUGUUAAAUAUAUGCCCCUGUUUUUCAGAAGAAUUACAAAACGAGUUCGGACUAUUUUUGACGGGUAUAUUGACUAUUUUGACCUUGAUGGAUGGACUUUUUUCCCACAAGUUUUUUCCUUGUGGACAAGUUAU
This 785-nucleotide long non-coding RNA is filed under the name Lactuca sativa (garden lettuce). RNAcentral describes it as "long non-coding RNA (LSAT_LNC000887)". Lineage: Eukaryota; Viridiplantae; Streptophyta; Magnoliopsida; Asterales; Asteraceae. The record is from RNAcentral.